UGGGGAAUAUUGGACAAUGGGCGAAAGCCUGAUCCAGCCAUGCCGCGUGAAUGAUGAAGGCCUUAGGGUUGUAAAAUUCUUUCACCGGGGACGAUAAUGAUGGUACCCGGAGAAGAAGCCCCGGCUAACUUCGUGCCAGCAGCCGCGGUAAUACGAAGGGGGCUAGCGUUGCUCGGAAUUACUGGGCGUAAAGAGUACGUAGGCGGACUGAUUAGUUGGUGGUGAAAUCCCAGGGCUCAACCUUGGAACUGCCAUCAAUACUGUCAGUCUGGAGCAGAGUAGAGGUGAAUGGAAUUCCAAGUGUAGAGGUGAAAUUCGUAGAUAUUUGGAGGAACACCAGUGGCGAAGGCGACUCACUGGACUCUUGCUGACGCUGAGGUACGAAAGCGUGGGGAGCAAACAGGAUUAGAUACCCCGGUAGUCCCUG
RNAcentral lists this ribosomal RNA (427 nucleotides) under uncultured bacterium. RNAcentral's name for it is "bacterial SSU rRNA". It matches the Rfam family "Bacterial small subunit ribosomal RNA", at positions 355 to 799 of the family's 1533-position model. The record is from RNAcentral.